GAUGAACGCUAGCGGCAGGCCUAACACAUGCAAGUCGAGGGAGAAGCCUUUCGGGGCAGAAACCGGCGCACGGGUGCGUAACGCGUAUGCAACCUACCUUUCACAGGGGGAUAGCCCGAAGAAAUUUGGAUUAAUACCCCAUAAUAUUGUUGGAUGGCAUCAUUUGGCAAUUAAAACUGCGGUGGUGAAAGAUGGGCAUGCGUCCUAUUAGCUAGUUGGAGUGGUAACGGCACCCCAAGGCUACGAUAGGUAGGGGUCCUGAGAGGGAGAUCCCCCACACUGGUACUGAGACAGGGACCAGACUCCUACGGGAGGCAGCAGUGAGGAAUAUUGGUCAAUGGUCGGAAGACUGAACCAGCCAUGCCGCGUGCAGGAAGAAUGCCUUAUGGGUUGUAAACUGCUUUUAUAUGGGAAGAAUAAGGUGUACGUGUACAUUGAUGACGGUACCAUAUGAUAAAGCU
RNAcentral lists this ribosomal RNA (461 nucleotides) under Capnocytophaga gingivalis. Its description in RNAcentral is "bacterial SSU rRNA". It matches the Rfam family "Bacterial small subunit ribosomal RNA", at positions 28 to 492 of the family's 1533-position model. The record is from RNAcentral. Lineage: Bacteria; Pseudomonadati; Bacteroidota; Flavobacteriia; Flavobacteriales; Flavobacteriaceae.